This 253-nucleotide ribosomal RNA is filed under the name uncultured bacterium. RNAcentral describes it as "partial 16S ribosomal RNA". It matches the Rfam family "Archaeal small subunit ribosomal RNA", at positions 474 to 727 of the family's 1478-position model. The record is from RNAcentral.
UACCAGCACCCCGAGUGGUCGGGACGUUUAUUGGGCCUAAAGCAUCCGUAGCCGGUUCUACAAGUCUUCCGUUAAAUCCACCUGCUUAACAGAUGGGCUGCGGAAGAUACUAUGGAGCUAGGAGGCGGGAGAGGCAAGCGGUACUCGAUGGGUAGGGGUAAAAUCCGUUGAUCCAUUGAAGACCACCAGUGGCGAAGGCGGCUUGCCAGAACGCGCUCGACGGUGAGGGAUGAAAGCUGAGGGAGCAAACCGG